UUACUUAAUUAUUUCUAAUUAGCAUUUUUGUGGCAUUGAGGUUGCCUAUGCCCGUCAAUGGGUCAUGUUCCCAGGAGUCUAUGUCUUUCAAUCAGCAGCGUGGUUGGAUGAUUCUACUCACUGGAGUUACAUCGGUGAAAGACCAGAAGGCCUUGCCCUCAGGGGGCUUACAUUCUAGUAUGAGGAGAUGCAGUAUAAACAAUAAAUAGAUACACAUGGAAUAUAUAAGUCAGCAACACGGAUGGAGCUGGAGGCCAUUAUUCUAAGAGCAAUAACUCAGAAACAGAAAAUCAAGUACCGCAUGUUCUCACUUAUAAGUGGAACCUAAACACUGAAUCAUUCUCCGCCUAACUCUCCAGGCAGCUACUACCAAUCAAUUAAAGUUGGCAUGUGAGAGGAUAUCUGUUCAACAUCAUUGAACCAAGUAGACCCUACCAAUUUGUAUCACCAGCCCCCAAGGAUAAAGUCUGACACACAGACAUCCAAGACUGUGGAAUAAAUGAGUGAAUUCUGAGGGAAGCAGACAAGUGGUUCUAUCUUCAUAGAGUUGUUACGGUUACUGGCAUUGAGUCAAGGAAAACCAGCCACAAAUGAUGAAACCAGGGAUUAGGGUCCAA
Long non-coding RNA from Gorilla gorilla gorilla (western lowland gorilla), 617 nucleotides. RefSeq lists it as uncharacterized. Lineage: Eukaryota; Metazoa; Chordata; Mammalia; Primates; Hominidae. The transcript has 4 exons. The record is from RefSeq and is a predicted model, not a curated record.